AACGAACGCUGGCGGCAGGCCUAACACAUGCAAGUCGAGCGCGCCUUCGGGUGAGCGGCGGACGGGUUAGUAACGCGUGGGAACGUGCCCUUCUCUACGGAAUAGCCUCUGGAAACGGAGAGUAAUACCGUAUACGCCCUUUGGGGGAAAGAUUUAUCGGAGAAGGAUCGGCCCGCGUUAGAUUAGGUAGUUGGUGGGGUAACGGCCUACCAAGCCUACGAUCUAUAGCUGGUUUUAGAGGAUGAUCAGCAACACUGGGACUGAGACACGGCCCAGACUCCUACGGGAGGCAGCAGUGGGGAAUAUUGGACAAUGGGGGAAACCCUGAUCCAGCAAUGCCGCGUGUGUGAAGAAGGCCUGCGGGUUGUAAAGCACUUUCAGCAGGGAGGAAAAGCUUCGGGUUAAUACCCCGGAGUCUUGACGUUACCUGCAGAAGAAGCACCGGCUAACUCUGUG
RNAcentral lists this ribosomal RNA (456 nucleotides) under uncultured bacterium. RNAcentral's name for it is "bacterial SSU rRNA". It matches the Rfam family "Bacterial small subunit ribosomal RNA", at positions 29 to 507 of the family's 1533-position model. The record is from RNAcentral.